AGAGUUUGAUCAUGGCUCAGGACGAACGCUGGCGGCGCGCUUAACACAUGCAAGUCGAACGGGUGCCUUCGGGCGCCAGUGGCGAACGGGUGCGUAACACGUGAGUGACCUGCCCCUGUGCGGGGGAUAACCCGGGGAAGCUCGGGCUAACACCGCAUGAGCUCGACGGGUCGGGCUGUCGAGGAAAGCUCCUGAGAGGGAGUGUGCAGGGAGGGGCUCGCGGCGUAUCAGGUAGUUGGUGAGGUAACGGCUCACCAAGCCGACGACGCGUAGGGGGUCUGAGAGGAUGGCCCCCCACAUUGGGACUGAGAUACGGCCCAGACUCCUACGGGAGGCAGCAGUGGGGAAUCUUGCGCAAUGGGCGAAAGCCUGACGCAGCCAACCCGCGUGGGUGAUGAAGGUCUUCGGAUCGUAAAGCCCUGUCGUGAGGGAAGAAUUCUGACGGUACCUCACAAGAAAGCGCCGGCUAACCCCGUGCCAGCAGCCGCGGUAAUACGGGGGGCGCAAGCGUUGCUCGGAAUCACUGGGCGUAAAGCGUCCGCAGGCGGCUUGGUAAGUCGGGUGUGAAAGCCCGGGGCUCAACCCCGGAACUGCAUUCGAAACUGCCUCGCUCGAGUACGGGAGAGGAUGGCGGAAUUCCUGGUGUAGAGGUGAAAUUCGUAGAUAUCAGGAGGAACACCGGUGGCGAAAGCGGCCAUCUGGCCCGAUACUGACGCUCAUGGACGAAAGCGUGGGGAGCAAACAGGAUUAGAUACCCUGGUAGUCCACGCCGUAAACGAUGGAUGCUAGCUGGCGGGUCUUCUACCGACUCGCUGGCGUCGCUAACGCAUUGAGCAUCCCGCCUGGGGAGUACGGCCGCAAGGCUAAAACUCAAAGGAAUUGACGG
This 886-nucleotide ribosomal RNA is filed under the name uncultured bacterium. Its description in RNAcentral is "bacterial SSU rRNA". It matches the Rfam family "Bacterial small subunit ribosomal RNA", at positions 8 to 916 of the family's 1533-position model. The record is from RNAcentral.